This is a long non-coding RNA of Apis dorsata (giant honeybee), 408 nucleotides long. RefSeq lists it as uncharacterized. The record is from RefSeq and is a predicted model, not a curated record. Lineage: Eukaryota; Metazoa; Arthropoda; Insecta; Hymenoptera; Apidae. The transcript has 3 exons.
AGCUUACGGCCAAGGAGCGAUCACCGAUGCUGAUUGACGCGUGUGCUAUACGCAGCCUUUCAAUUCGUCCAGACGCCGCGUCCAGACGAUUAUUUUAUAACGAAAAAAUCAAAAAGGAAAAGAAGGAUGCUGUAGAACAGGAAGACCUAUUUAUCAUACGACGAGGCCCAGCCGAUCGAAACUGCUUUCCGGUAAAGCCACACUCCGAAUGAGCAUGCGCAUUAAACAAUCACGUAAAAUUCACGCUGGCCGCCUCUAAAGGAUAGAAUUCUCCAGGGAUUAAUUCCGUUGCAUCCGUGGUUGUAGUUCAUCUCGAUUAACCAUCGUUAUAUAGACACACCUUUGGCCUGAUUGUCCGGAUUCGAGAUCCGGAUUGCGAAAUUCGAGAAAAUUUGGUUUUUAAAGCGA